CCCCACCUAUCACAUCAAACUCUUCUCUUUCUCCGUCGACCCCACCCCCACCUCCAACGACGGCUGCGAUGAAUACUCCGGCAAUUUAUCUAACACCAGUGACCGCUUCGACGAUAAUUCCGACAACCUCCCCACGAUGGUUUUGGUGAUCGUUAAUCUUUCCGGCGAAUACCAUUUUCUUUUUUCUUCUUUUUUGGCAAUGAUCCGUGACCAGUCCCAUUAGAUCUGUUGUAACACCCCGACCCCUAGUGGACCGGAACGCUACCUACUUUACUUAGUUUAACCGGUGGUUUAGUAACAAGUGUAUACGUUUUAGCUGAAUCUUACAUUUUCGAAUAAUAAUUUAAAUAACAAUACUUCAAAUACUUUAAAGAAAAACAUUGAAUCAUUUUUCAAAACAACAAAAUGUAAUUUAUUUGAAGAAAACUUAACUUGUUAUCGCAUUCUGCGUUAUUCAAAAUUUUAAAGAAAUAAUAUUGGAAAGCAUUUCAUAAAAAUAAAUCCAAAUCACUUAUUCACCGGAUUUUCAUGGGCUCGUUGCAUCACUCUCCAUCUUCUUCUCCAUCCAUGCCCUAGGUAGAAUUCCUUUAAUUUGUAGAGAUGAGAUUAAACCCGUGAGUUGAAAAACUCAAUAGGUGUCAUAGGUGCAUUCGUGAUCAAGCUAUACAUUUCAAAACAUUAACAUUAUAACUUUUCAUACAUGCCGUACCCGGAGGCACCAUUUGACAUGAAUGGGUAUGCCGUACCCGAUGGCACCAUUUGACAUAUGAACAUUUCUUCAACAUAAAGGGGUAUGCCGUAUCGGAGUGCCAUUUGACAUACAACCAUUAACAUAGAGGGAUAUGCCGUACCGGAGUACCAUUUGAUAUACAAACAUUAACAUGAAUCGAAACUUAUAACUUAACACGAUUAAACACAUUGCACCUCUACCUACCUUUGAUUGAUACUUUUGAAAUUUUGAAAACUUGGAUUGAAAAUUUCGAUGAAACUUGGACGUUAAAAGAAAUGCACUCCUCGGAUGUUUGAAAAUCGUUGAGAAUUGAUGCUUGAAGACACUCCUUGAUAGCACCCCAAAACUUUUAUGAAAAAUGUUUGAAAACACUUCUUAAACUUCUAGAAAAAUAGUUUUCCUCCCUCUUUUUUUCUCUCUUGGAAACUCUUUCUUUAGUUUGUAAAAGCUCUUGCUUUUGGUGUGAGAAAAAUGAGUGAAAUGAGAUCUCUAAAUAUCCUAUAACAUAAAGCAAAUGAAGGGUCAAAUUUCAUUUAACAGAGAAAAC
This 1277-nucleotide long non-coding RNA is filed under the name Olea europaea subsp. europaea. Lineage: Eukaryota; Viridiplantae; Streptophyta; Magnoliopsida; Lamiales; Oleaceae. The record is from RNAcentral.